This 446-nucleotide ribosomal RNA is filed under the name uncultured bacterium. Its description in RNAcentral is "partial 16S ribosomal RNA". It matches the Rfam family "Bacterial small subunit ribosomal RNA", at positions 338 to 795 of the family's 1533-position model. The record is from RNAcentral.
CCUACGGGUGGCAGCAGUCGAGAAUCAUUCACAAUGGGGGAAACCCUGAUGGUGCGACGCCGCGUGGGGGAAUGAAGGUCUUCGGAUUGUAAACCCCUGUCAUGUGGGCGCAAAUUAAAAAGAUAGUACCACAAGAGGAAGAGACGGCUAACUCUGUGCCAGCAGCCGCGGUAAUACAGAGGUCUCAAGCGUUGUUCGGAAUCACUGGGCGUAAGGCGUGCGUAGGCUGUUUCGUAAGUCGUGUGUGAAAGGCGCGGGCUCAACCCGCGGACGGCCCAUGAUACUGCGAGACUAGAGUAAUGGAGGGGGAACCGGAAUUCUCGGUGUAGCAGUGAAAUGCGUAGAUAUCGAGAGGAACACUCGUGGCGAAGGCGGGUUCCUGGACAUUAACUGACGCUGAGGCACGAAGGCCAGGGGAGCGAAAGGGAUUAGAUACCCCGGUAGUC